RNAcentral lists this ribosomal RNA (468 nucleotides) under uncultured bacterium. Its description in RNAcentral is "partial 16S ribosomal RNA". It matches the Rfam family "Bacterial small subunit ribosomal RNA", at positions 28 to 507 of the family's 1533-position model. The record is from RNAcentral.
GACGAACGCUGGCGGCGUGCUUAACACAUGCAAGUCGAACGGAAAGACCCUGCUUUUGUGGGGUGCUCGAGUGGCGAACGGGUGAGUAACACGUGAGUAACCUGCCCUUGUCUUUGGGAUAACUUCAGGAAACUGGGGCUAAUACCGGAUAGGAGCUCCUGCUGCAUGGUGGGGGUUGGAAAGUUUCGGCGGUUGGGGAUGGACUCGCGGCUUAUCAGCUUGUUGGUGGGGUAGUGGCUUACCAAGGCUUUGACGGGUAGCCGGCCUGAGAGGGUGACCGGCCACAUUGGGACUGAGAUACGGCCCAGACUCCUACGGGAGGCAGCAGUGGGGAAUAUUGCACAAUGGGCGGAAGCCUGAUGCAGCAACGCCGCGUGCGGGAUGACGGCCUUCGGGUUGUAAACCGCUUUCGCCUGUGACGAAGCGUGAGUGACGGUAAUGGGUAAAGAAGCACCGGCUAACUACGUG